Long non-coding RNA from Aptenodytes forsteri (emperor penguin), 367 nucleotides. RefSeq lists it as uncharacterized. NCBI's taxonomy places the organism in Eukaryota, Metazoa, Chordata, Aves, Sphenisciformes, Spheniscidae. The transcript is spliced from 2 exons. The record is from RefSeq and is a predicted model, not a curated record.
GUAACACCAUUUUUCUUGUAAGUAGGAGAGGCUAUACUUGUAAUGUAGUUGAAAGAAAUUGUCAUUUAUUUAGGAAGUCUAGGUGUGGUUUUGUAUUUGUUUUUGGACAAGCAUAAUUCUGAGCAAAAACACUACUUUGAUUUGGUAAAAUUUAAUUGGAAACUACUGUUUAUCAUUCGGUUGUAUUUCCAAAAUGUAUUUCUGUAUUUGUUUAUACUGUGUCAUGGAUUACUUUAUUUUUUUUUAGUCCAUGAAAGUGACAGAGAACCAGUUGCAUUUGUUUGGAAUUAAAAAUGUUCCCAUGUAUACUGAUGUAUUCAGUAUUCUGCCUUUUUGUUUUGAAUAAUAAAAUGCGUAUCUUCUGCGU